CGCGAGGCAGAACGCACGCCGGUGUCAAACGGUACGCGCUACAUUCGGUCGCUCAAUAAAAUUUACGUUCGUAAACGUUCAGUGUAGUGUUGUUCGCAUUUCGGAAUAAAAAAAAUGCAUCUAAGUUCGAUUCAGUUGGCGUGCGCGGCACUGGUGGCGGUGGCCCUGGGCGCGGCGGCGCCGCCCUCGUCGUCGCACCACGUCGCGAGGCGCUCCUUCUUCACCCUCGAGUGCAAAGGAGUCUACGACGCGGCCAUCUUUGCCCGCCUCGACAGGAUCUGUGACGACUGCUACAACCUCUUUAGAGAACCACAACUCUACACUCUAUGCAGGAAAGACUGUUUCACGACAGAUUACUUCAAAGGCUGCGUGGAGGUGCUACAAGAAACUGACCAGUUAGAACAGUUCAAGGAAUAUAUAAGAAUAUUACACGGGGCCGUCCCCCCCGCUGGGAAUUAGGGAGAAAUGCUUCACAUCGCCCUAUUUCAAGGGAUGCAUGGAGUCUUUGUACCUCUACGACGAAAAGGAACAAAUUGAUCAGAUGAUCGACUUCGUCGGUAAACGCUAAUCUACAAUCGCGAGCAAAAAGUUCCGACGCAUCUAACCGUGUAAUAACUACGCAGUACCAACUUCCAACGCAAAGGUUCACGCAACGACCGCUUUGCCAUAAAGCAGACCAUAGACAAUGUUCCAGUUGGACAUCUGCUUUCUUCCUCAACAUAUUCUAGUCCUUAAGCGACGUAAAUAGUUUUAUGUUCGCAACUAAAUGUAAUGUUAUUGUAAUUUGUAUUAAGUAAACUAAGGACAUUUAUUAUCUAUUUUAUGGUUUAUAUGUUAUUAAAUGUUGUAAGCUUCUUACUUAGGGAAGUGUAAAGUACAUUGUAUCACCUCCUAGUAUUGAAAUUCGAAAAUUUGAGGCAGCCUUUGGUGUCGAUGCUGGUCAUCUGUUCUGUCUCGUGAGAUCCGACUGAGAUUAACGAUUUUAAUGUCUAGGUGUCGUUUUGAGAUGGCGACUGGGUACCUGGAGGCAGCUGGUUGCUUACCCCGCUUCCGAUCAGCUUCGCCCGGCAGCUGCCCGGCUCCCACUCGAACGUCUCAAAGCGACAGCUGAUUAGCGACGCAUUCCAAUCACAGUAUUUAAAAAAACGAAUACUUACGCUUUUUCAAGUCUACAAUUCAUUUUAUCACAUUUUUGUAUUAAUUUUUGAAUUAUAUUUUAAAAGCCUUACAAUAGAUUUUACAAGAUAGUAUUUGAUUUUAUAAUGUUAGGUAGGUUCUGAACCAAUAUACUUCUUUGCUAUACGAAUUUGAACUUAAUUACCAAGAAACUUUGAUUUUAGUUUAAUUAAAACUUAGUAUUCACAAUCUGUUGCUAGUUAGUUUGUACGUAAAUCACGCAUGUGGCUUAUACAUCACUUAGGUUUAUCUCUACAAAACUCAGGGAGUUUAUUGUUUUAGUUGUCAUUCGCGUUUAUUUAUUUAUUAUUCAUGUUCAUGCAAAAGGACCAGUUUCACUAACUGAUAAAUGCUAAAACUUUCCAAUUUUAAAGUAAUAGAAUAAAAAAUAUUUUCAUAUGUCAGGUUACCUUGGUUAGUGAAACUGGGCCUUAAGGUUCUCAUUCGUGCAAGUAAAUGUAAGUAAGAUAAGUAAGUCUACUUGCACAAAUGAAACUUGACUAUUCACAAAUUUUACCGAAAUUAUGCCCUUUUCGUUUGAUAGCCGAGCGAGUUUAAUGAUUAUUUUUAUUAGUUAAUUUCAUUAGUUAGUAAGUAUUUAAAAAAGAUUUAUUUUUAUAUACUUCCGACCUAUUUAUUACCUAUUGUUACUUUUUAUUUAUAUUUUUUUAAUAAUAAGUAUGAAUAGAAACUUUUUCGUACAGCGAUAGAGUGUACCAGUGUGAAAAAAUAUUUAACUACUCAUAUUAUAUUCCUGAUUUUUUUAUUAUCUUUAAGUUGCGGUUAAUACUUAUUUAAAAGUUUUCUUUUUGUAAAUUCCGCUGUAACUCUUGUCUGUGUUCGAAUCUCAUCUUUUAUUAGUUUAUUAGCGUUUCUUAUGUUUCAUAGACAUACUUUGUAAUGAAUAUCGACACAGGGACGUCAUCGUUUCGACACAAAACAGUCUGUCCUGUGACAUAGAUAAAAUGGUGCCAAUUAUUGUCAGCAAGACACUAGGUUAAAAAAAAUUAGCUAAUGGUAUAUAAACAAUGUAUAGGACGCGUUUGUAAAAAUGAAUUAGUAAAUUAUUAUAAAUAAUUGUAUAAAUUUUAUAAAAACAGCUAAGAAACGCUACGGGUUCCAUGAAAUAUAUUUGAUUUGAAAAUCA
This 2323-nucleotide unclassified non-coding RNA is filed under the name Helicoverpa zea (corn earworm). RNAcentral's name for it is "cHH-like protein, transcript variant X3". Lineage: Eukaryota; Metazoa; Arthropoda; Insecta; Lepidoptera; Noctuidae. The record is from RNAcentral.